CUACGUGCCAGCAGCCGCGGUAAUACGUAGGGUGCGAGCGUUAAUCGGAAUUACUGGGCGUAAAGCGGGCGCAGACGGUUACUUAAGCAGGAUGUGAAAUCCCCGGGCUCAACCUGGGAACUGCGUUCUGAACUGGGUGACUAGAGUGUGUCAGAGGGAGGUAGAAUUCCACGUGUAGCAGUGAAAUGCGUAGAGAUGUGGAGGAAUACCGAUGGCGAAGGCAGCCUCCUGGGAUAACACUGACGUUCAUGCCCGAAAGCGUGGGUAGCAAACAGGAUUAGAUACCCUGGUAGUCCACGCUGUAAACGAUGUCGAUUUGGGGGUUGAGCUUUAAGCUUGGCGCCCGUAGCUAACGUGAUAAAUCGACCGCCUGGGGAGUACGGCCGCAAGGUUAAAACUCAAAUGAAUUGACGGGGGCCCGCACAAGCGGUGGAGCAUGUGGUUUAAUUCGAUGCAACGCGAAGAACCUUACCUACUCUUGACAUCCAGAGAACAUUC
Molecule: ribosomal RNA, 498 nt
Filed under: uncultured bacterium
Lineage: Bacteria
Description: bacterial SSU rRNA
Rfam family: Bacterial small subunit ribosomal RNA
Source: RNAcentral